CCUACGGGGGGCUGCAGUCGAGAAUCUUCCGCAAUGGGCGAAAGCCUGACGGAGCGACGUCGCGUGAUGGAUGAAGUUCUUAGGAACGUAAACAUCUUUUAUGAGGGAGAAAAUUUUGAUAGUACCUCAUGAAUAAGGGGUUGCUAAACUCGUGCCAGCAGCAGCGGUAAUACGAGUGCCCCAAGCGUUAUCCGGAAUUACUGGGCGUAAAGCGUGCGUAGACGGUCGUGUUAGUCGUUCGUUAAAGCUCCCGGCUUAACCGGGAAAAUGCGAACGAAACGGCACGACUCGAGGAGGUGAAGGGUUCGUGGAACUCAUGGUGUAGGGGUGAAAUCCGUUGAUAUCAUGGGGAACACCAAAAGCGAAGGCAGCGAACUGGCACCUUACUGACGUUGGAGCACGAAAGCGUGGGGAGCAAACGGGCUUAGAUACCCUAGUAGUC
RNAcentral lists this ribosomal RNA (442 nucleotides) under uncultured bacterium. RNAcentral's name for it is "bacterial SSU rRNA". It matches the Rfam family "Bacterial small subunit ribosomal RNA", at positions 338 to 795 of the family's 1533-position model. The record is from RNAcentral.